RNAcentral lists this transfer RNA (66 nucleotides) under Metopsia clypeata. RNAcentral describes it as "tRNA-Arg". The record is from RNAcentral. Lineage: Eukaryota; Metazoa; Arthropoda; Insecta; Coleoptera; Staphylinidae.
AAAUAAGAAACAAAAAAUUGUAUUUAAUUUCGACUUAAAAUUUUGACAUUCGCCCGUCCUUAUUUA